UGGCGGACCGGGUGAGUAAUGUCUGGGAAACUGCCUGAUGGAGGGGGAUAACUACUGGAAACGGUAGCUAAUACCGCAUAACGUCGCAAGACCAAGAGGGGGACCUUCGGGCCUCUUGCCAUCGGAUGUGCCCAGAUGGGAUUAGCUAGUAGGUGGGGUAACGGCUCACCUAGGCGACGAUCCCUAGCUGGUCUGAGAGGAUGACCAGCCACACUGGAACUGAGACACGGUCCAG
This 235-nucleotide ribosomal RNA is filed under the name uncultured bacterium. RNAcentral's name for it is "partial 16S ribosomal RNA". It matches the Rfam family "Bacterial small subunit ribosomal RNA", at positions 96 to 334 of the family's 1533-position model. The record is from RNAcentral.